RNAcentral lists this ribosomal RNA (32 nucleotides) under Tiquilia galapagoa. RNAcentral's name for it is "partial 26S ribosomal RNA". Lineage: Eukaryota; Viridiplantae; Streptophyta; Magnoliopsida; Boraginales; Ehretiaceae. The record is from RNAcentral.
CCGCGACCCCAGGUCAGGCGGGACCACCCGCU